Molecule: unclassified non-coding RNA, 191 nt
Filed under: uncultured Ascomycota
Lineage: Eukaryota; Fungi; Ascomycota
Description: sequence contains ITS1
Source: RNAcentral
AAGAGAGACGGGGAGCCUUGUGCCCCCAACUCCCAACCCUGUGUUAACCGAACCUUUGUUGCUUUGGCGGGGCGCGGCCGUAAAAGGCCCCGUCGGCCCCACCUCGGGGCUGGCGAGCCCCCGCCGAAGAAAUUUUAAAAAUUCUUUUUGCAAACCAUGACAUGUCUGAGAUAAAUUGUUAAAUAAGCGAA